CUGAAGUCAGGCCACGGCGUCAGUAGGCUUCUCCCCAGACACAUUUUCCAGUUCCUCCUGGGAACAUAUAAGACAUUCCCAGGCAAGAGGAGCUAUAUAAUCUCUCUCAUUGGUUCUGGGUCUGCCGGUAUUCCUCUCAGUUGAGCAUAUUUGGAAAACUUUCAAUAAGCGGUGUCCAGGAAGCAUCCUAAAUAGAUGACCUAAUCAGGAGCUCCUCACCCAGCCACCCUGCUAAGUUGUAUUUUCAGCUUUACACUUUCAGUCGUUUCAUGACGGUUGGCUCAGCUCUUGCUUCAUCACCACAGUCUGGGUGAUCCUGGUCCAGACGGGUACGGGGGUGACGGUGGACUCGAUGGAAACCCGGACUUUUGUAGAGACGAUGUGUUCCAC
This is a long non-coding RNA of Oreochromis niloticus (Nile tilapia), 390 nucleotides long. RefSeq lists it as uncharacterized. The record is from RefSeq and is a predicted model, not a curated record. The transcript has 3 exons. Lineage: Eukaryota; Metazoa; Chordata; Actinopteri; Cichliformes; Cichlidae.